RNAcentral lists this ribosomal RNA (274 nucleotides) under uncultured bacterium. RNAcentral's name for it is "partial 16S ribosomal RNA". It matches the Rfam family "Archaeal small subunit ribosomal RNA", at positions 473 to 747 of the family's 1478-position model. The record is from RNAcentral.
AAACCAGCACCUCAAGUGGUCAGGAGGAUUAUUGGGCCUAAAGCAUCCGUCGCCUGCUGCAUAAGUUUUCGGUUAAAUCCAUACGCUCAACGUAUGGGCUGCCGGGAAUACUGUGCAGCUAGGGAGUGGGAGAGGUAGACGGUACUCAGUAGGAAGGGGUAAAAUCCUUUGAUCUAUUGAUGACCACCUGUGGCGAAGGCGGUCUACCAGAACACGUUCGACGGUGAGGGAUGAAAGCUGGGGGAGCAAACCGGAUUAGAAACCCGAGUAGUCC